RNAcentral lists this long non-coding RNA (406 nucleotides) under Homo sapiens (human). RNAcentral describes it as "non-protein coding lnc-PCDH20-17:2". The record is from RNAcentral. Lineage: Eukaryota; Metazoa; Chordata; Mammalia; Primates; Hominidae.
CUAUAGAAACCUAUAUGGUGAAACUUUUAUUAUCCUCACAUUAUAAAUCAGUAAGACAAGGUGACAAUAUACCAGAGAGUCUCCUAUGGAUUUGCGACAGGAUUUCACCAUAUUGACCAGGCUGGCCUCGAACUCCCGACCUCAAGUGGUCCGCCCGCCUUGGCCUCCCAAAGUGCUGGGAGUACAGGUGUGAGUCACCAUGCCUGGCCUUCAUACUUAUUUUCUUAGGUGAUUAGGUGAUAAUGUCUACUACAGUAAGUCUAAUUAACUUAAAUUUACUUAAUCAAUAGGCAUUCUGUGGGGAUUUCUGUGGGGAUUUGAUAAGAUCAUUUCAAAAGUAAAUUAAAUAGUUUUAUUUAAAUUAACUCUCAUAUAAAUAAAAACUACAAAAUUUAGACAAAAUACA